UACGGUGGGGGUUAGCGUUGUUCGGAAUUACUGGGCGUAAAGCGCGCGUAGGCGGAUUAGAAAGUUGGGGGUGAAAUCCCGGGGCUCAACCCCGGAACUGCCUCCAAAACUACUAGUCUAGAGUUCGAGAGAGGUGAGUGGAAUUCCGAGUGUAGAGGUGAAAUUCGUAGAUAUUCGGAGGAACACCAGUGGCGAAGGCGGCUCACUGGCUCGAUACUGACGCUGAGGUGCGAAAGUGUGGGGAGCAAACAGG
RNAcentral lists this ribosomal RNA (253 nucleotides) under uncultured bacterium. RNAcentral describes it as "partial 16S ribosomal RNA". It matches the Rfam family "Bacterial small subunit ribosomal RNA", at positions 524 to 776 of the family's 1533-position model. The record is from RNAcentral.